Poecilia reticulata (guppy) is the source of this 472-nucleotide non-coding RNA. The record is from RefSeq and is a predicted model, not a curated record. Lineage: Eukaryota; Metazoa; Chordata; Actinopteri; Cyprinodontiformes; Poeciliidae.
UUUAAUUGUUAAUAUUUAUUUUUAGGCAUUCGUCCACAUUCAAGUCUAUUGAAGAACUUGUUGGCAGUGUGAAGGAUAAAGUGACUGGCGGCGCGUCAAACAGCGAAGAGGCGUCUGGAUUUGAAAGAAGAUCCUCGCGCAACCAAACCUGAGAUGAAUCGAUUUUAUGCAAAUCACUAAAAUUUUGCAAAGUUAAAUGAAUGAGUGAAUUCUCUCCCUCAUCAAUAUGUAUGUCUGUUUUUUUCCAGUUUCUUUGUUGAUGCAGAUUAAGAAAUUGAAUGUACAAUACUAGUUGUGUAAGUAAAUAAUUAAGAUGUAUUUAAACCUUUGAAUGUUUCAUAACGUGAURAAAUCUGUUCAUUUUAAURUGCUGGUUGUUUUUGACAUGCCUGUAUCUCCAUAUUCUGAAAUCAGAUGUACUACGAGGUAUUUUUGUAAUGUCAGAUUUUUCAAGUAAAGUCUUUAGAAUACA